RNAcentral lists this ribosomal RNA (525 nucleotides) under uncultured bacterium. RNAcentral describes it as "bacterial SSU rRNA". It matches the Rfam family "Bacterial small subunit ribosomal RNA", at positions 777 to 1301 of the family's 1533-position model. The record is from RNAcentral.
AAUAGAUACCCAGUAGUCCACGCCGUAAACGAUGAGUGCUAAGUGUUAGAGGGUUUCCGCCCUUUAGUGCUGCAGCUAACGCAUUAAGCACUCCGCCUGGGGAGUACGGCCGCAGGGCUGAAACUCAAAGGAAUUGACGGGGGCCCGCACAAGCGGUGGAGCAUGUGGUUUAAUUCGAAGCAACGCGAAGAACCUUACCAGGUCUUGACAUCCUCUGCCAACCCUAGAGAUAGGGCGUUCCCCUUCGGGGGACAGAGUGACAGGUGGUGCAUGGUUGUCGUCAGCUCGUGUCGUGAGAUGUUGGGUUAAGUCCCGCAACGAGCGCAACCCUUGAUCUUAGUUGCCAGCAUUCAGUUGGGCACUCUAAGGUGACUGCCGGUGACAAACCGGAGGAAGGUGGGGAUGACGUCAAAUCAUCAUGCCCCUUAUGACCUGGGCUACACACGUGCUACAAUGGAUGGUACAAAGAGCUGCGAACCCGCGAGGGUAAGCGAAUCUCAUAAAGCCAUUCUCAGUUCGGAUUGU